UACGAAGGGUGCAAGCGUUAAUCGGAAUUACUGGGCGUAAAGCGUGCGCAGGCGGUUCGUUGUGUCGGCGGUGAAAGCCCCGGGCUUAACCUGGGAAUGGCCGUUGAAACUGGCGAACUGGAGUGUGGCAGAGGGGGGUGGAAUUCCACGUGUAGCAGUGAAAUGCGUAGAGAUGUGGAGGAACACCGAUGGCGAAGGCAGCCCCCUGGGUCAACACUGACGCUCAUGCACGAAAGCGUGGGGAGCAAACAGG
This 253-nucleotide ribosomal RNA is filed under the name uncultured bacterium. RNAcentral's name for it is "partial 16S ribosomal RNA". It matches the Rfam family "Bacterial small subunit ribosomal RNA", at positions 524 to 776 of the family's 1533-position model. The record is from RNAcentral.